CGGGCGUCCUCACAAAUUACCUGCAUUCAGAGAUUCAUACCGGCACAGGUCGGUAUGCGAAGUCCCUUUAUGGGGCCUUAGCUCAGCUGGGAGAGCACCUGCUUUGCAAGCAGGGGGUCGUCGGUUCGAUCCCGACAGGCUCCACCAUAGUGAGUGAAAAGACUUCGGGUCUGUAGCUCAGGUGGUUAGAGCGCACCCCUGAUAAGGGUGAGGUCGGUAGUUCGAGUCUACCCAGACCCACCACUCUGAAUGUAGUGCACACUUAAGAAUUUAUAUGGCUCAGCGUUGAGGCUGAGGCAUGUUCUUUUAUAACUUGUGACGUAGCGAGCGUUUGAGAUAUCUAUCUAAACGUGUCGUUGAGGCUAAGGCGGGGACUUCGAGUCCCUAAAUAAUUGAGUCGUAUGUUCGCGUUGGUGGCUUUGUACCCCACACAACACGUACAUGUAGCUCCGAGGCAACUUGGGGUUAUAUGGUCAAGCGAAUAAGCGCACACGGUGGAUGCCUAGGCGGUCAGAGGCGAUGAAGGACGUGGUAGCCUGCGAAAAGUGUCGGGGAGCUG
This 559-nucleotide unclassified non-coding RNA is filed under the name Xanthomonas bromi. RNAcentral's name for it is "partial contains 16S-23S ribosomal RNA intergenic spacer and 23S ribosomal RNA". The stretch from base 167 to 240 matches the Rfam family "tRNA". Lineage: Bacteria; Pseudomonadati; Pseudomonadota; Gammaproteobacteria; Lysobacterales; Lysobacteraceae. The record is from RNAcentral.